CAUGCAGGUGGUCUGUUAAGUCAGAUGUGAAAGCCCAAGGCUUAACCUUGGAAUCGCAUUUGAAACUGGCAGGCUAGAGUACUGUAGAGGGGGGUAGAAUUUCAGGUGUAGCGGUGAAAUGUGUAGAGAUCUGAAGGAAUACCGGUGGCGAAGGCGGCCCCCUGGACAGAUACUGACACUCAGAUGCGAAAGUGUGGGGAGCAAACA
This 207-nucleotide ribosomal RNA is filed under the name uncultured bacterium. RNAcentral's name for it is "partial 16S ribosomal RNA". It matches the Rfam family "Bacterial small subunit ribosomal RNA", at positions 568 to 774 of the family's 1533-position model. The record is from RNAcentral.